This 122-nucleotide ribosomal RNA is filed under the name Balamuthia mandrillaris. Lineage: Eukaryota; Discosea; Longamoebia; Balamuthiidae. The record is from RNAcentral.
GGAUACGGCCAUACUGCGGAGAGAGCACCGCUUCCCGUCCGAUCAGCGAAGUUAAGCUCCGCCAGGCGAUGUUAGUACUGGGGUGGGUGACCACCCGGGAAUCCAUCGUGCUGUAUCCUCCU